GAGGCUGAGGUGGGAGGAUUACCUGAGCCCAGGGGAUUGAGGCUGAAGUGAGCCAUGAUCUCACCACUGCCCUCCAUUCUGGGCAACAGAGUGAGACCCUGUCUCAAACAAACAAACAAAAAAGCCAAAAAAACAAACAAAGAAAAACCCUCAUGUUUCACUACAGCGCUAAUUGCUAAGUGUUUAGUCACUCAUUCAUCAGCUAGCAUCCUACAUGUGGUACGUUGUCAGUAGCCUAUGGCAGAGGUAGUAUCACCAGAGACAGUGGCCAGCUUUAGAAAGAGUGCUAGCCUGGGUACUAGCCCUAGUCUACACUCUCUAGGAAAACUAAGACAAUCCUGCCAUAUGUGUAAGAUUUCCAUCAUUUAUAGGAUUUUCUUCCAAAUAUUCUUCUCCUGGUGCUGAAGCCUAAACCAUCCCCAUAAGCAUGAUGUUCUCAUAUUCUGAAAAUGGUUCCCUGAACACACUUUGCCACAGCUGAUUCCAAUUCUCUCUCUCUUUCUCCUCUCUCUCUCUCUCUCUCUCUCUCUCUCUAUAAUCAAAAGCAUUUAUGGAGUUCUGCAAGCCCAAGUGUCCAGGCUGAUCAAAUACCCCAGCAUGAGAAUAAUGCUCUGAAUGAUGUGAAAAAGUUCUUUUUCUGAAAACAAUUUAGAACAUAUUGGAAGGCAUGCCAGUUGUGUUUUUAAGCCACACAAUGAUAUUAUCAAAGCUGCUGCAGCAGGCCACUGAUUGCCCUCACCCACCACCCCAGAUCCAUUCUCUCUUCAUAGUCUUCAUUAUGACCAAAAGACGAAGAAGGAGGAAGUAAGUGUUAGGGUGAAGAGUGCAUGUGGGGAAACAUUUCACUAGCCCUAUAGUCCAUUCUGUAAUCCAGAAUGGAUUCCAUUUGUGUCUAAAGGACACUGCAGGUGUGUUAUCUGCCUUCAUUGUUCGCUGGAUCUCUGCCACAUGCUCCAUUGUCACUUCCCCAGGCUGUUCAUCACCAGCAGCGAAGCUCUGUGGGAGAGCCAUUUGCAGCCUGGAGUUAUUUACCCCCACUGGGGUUCCUUCAGUUUGGCAUCUCCAUUCAGUAUUGCAAGGGCCUGGCCACCAAGGAACAAAGGAUCUCAAGUAGAAUCAAAGGGUAAGAGAAAAGGGAAUGUUGCAGAUACACUUCAAUUUCUUUCUUUCUUUCACCUUGACAUAUUGAUCAUCUUUUUGCCUUUUCCAAGAACAGAUGGCAGUUGCCUCAAUGCCAAAGGUGACAGAGCAGGUAGUGAAGCUUCUGUAAAUGCUCAAGGCGGCUACAAAAUUAAGCCCUGUCCAGGUCCUACCUACCUGCUAGUGGAGUCCCCUAGGAUGCACAGGGAAGGGUGUGGGAAGGGGCAGAGCUUUCACCUGAGCAGCACACACACAUCACAGCCUGAUUCUGGGAGGAACAAGGCCACUCUCUGCCCCUCUUCUACCUCUCAAGUCUCCAACAGCCUGGUGGGGAGACGGGGCACCAUGGGGGCCUCCUCUGCAUGUUGCUGAUCGCACAGAACAGGACAAUCCCUCUCUUGUCUUACUCUGCAUGGCAAGUCAGGCUGAUGCUCCCCAAAUCUCUCCUAUCUGUUGCAGAGGGGCUAUAAGGAACGCAGGACGGGGAUAAUGAGACUUAGGGAAGACCCAGUUCUAACCCCUUCCCUUACUCUUCAUCUCUUUGCAGGGUACCCAUACACUAAAGAGAAACUAGCCAUUGACAGCAGUGGCCAGAAGUCAUUUAGUUUAAUCUUUUAUGUUUUAAUCAUAUAUAUAACUUUUAAGGAAUAACUUUUCCCUAUUUUACAAAUUUAAUUUUAUAAUUUUAUAUUUAUAGGAUUUUAAAGCUAAUUUCUUAUAUCAGAAAAUACUACUAAGGUUAUCAUAAGAAUUAUUUAUUGUUUAUCUUAUUGGAUAACAGUCAUUCUUUAAGUAUUGCAUACACUAUUUUGCUUUUUCGAGAACGGAGUCUUGCUCUGUCGCCCAGGCCGGAGUGCAAUGGCUCUAUCUCGGCUCACUGCAACCUCCGCCUCCCGGGCUCAAGCGAUUCUACUGCCUCAGCCUCCUGAGCAGCUGGGAUUACAGGUGCCCACCACCACGCCCGGCUAAUUUUUAUAUUUUUGGUAGAGAUGGUGUUUCACCAUGUUGGCCAGGAUGGUCUCGAACUCCUGACCUUGUGAUCUGCCCACCUCUGCCUCCCAAAGUGCUGGGACUGCAGGCAUGAGCCACCAUGCCCGGCCUGCAUACUCUAUUUUAUUGUCCUUACCAGCUCAUUCAAAAUUUCUGUUUAUCUCUUUUCACAUUGGAAACAGAAGGUGGUGUCUUUAGAGAUACCAGCGUGUGCCUCAAACCUGGAGAUAUACGUUCUCUCUGCCAGUUUGCCUUAAACAGGUCUUUUUUCAUACUUUAAAACAGAUUACCAUGGUGAUCUCAAUUAAGAUCUAACUGUAGUCAGACAGGAAAAACUGAAGGCUGCAUUUUGAACCAUUCAGGUUACUUAGGAGAUGCUAAGAUCAAAUAACCCCAAAUAAAAUCCAUGGAAACCAUUCAAAUGAUGCUGCUAUCUUGUUCUCAAGAUCAUUAUGUCUCUGUUUGGAGAUUGUCUUAUCUAGCCAGACCAAAUUUCCAUCAUAAUAGUCUGGAAAUAAAACCUGGAGAAGGGAUGAAAUGAGGCAAAGAAAAGAAUAGCAAACAGAAAUGGGAAUUUCAUUCUCGAUAAUGGACAGGUCUCUAGCCACUCACUGGCUUUGCGGCUGCCAAGCCAAGACCCUCACUCAGAUUGUCAAAGUGGCAGGGAACCCGGGCUGGUUGUAGAAGAGGCCCUCAGCAUCCAUGGCCCAUCUUGCCCAACAGAGCUCAGACUGCUCCUUUAAAAUUAAAGAUGGCUGGGCGCGGUGGCUCACAGCUGUAAUCCCAGCAUUUUGGGAGGCUGAGGAGAGAGGACUGCUUGAGCCCAGGAGUCAGAGGCUGCAGUAAGCUGGGAUAGCACCACUGCACUCCAGCCUUGGUGACAGAGGGAGGGAGACCCUAUCCCUUAAAAAAAAAAAAUAGAGCCUUAGAAAGAGUAGUGAUUCGUAAGGAGAAGCGUGAAUGCAUUUCUUCAUGUUCCCUCUAAAAGAACAGACAACUGCCCUUAUACUGGCUGCCUUCUGAGUCUUUGGGGGGUUUGGCAAUUAAAAGCGAUUUUGCAAAAUCUGAGCACCCAUGUUGAAAAUGAGCUUAAGCACAAACUAAUUCAUCACUUAGUGAGAUAAAUACAUAACUCAUAAAUUUUUCAUUAUAUGAGUGAGAGUUCCAUUUUUUUAAACUAGCUUUUUGCCAUGUUCACAAAUCUUGAUUAAAGAAUCCUCUGAGUAUUAUAAGAUAGAAACGUCUUUAUUUUUUGAAUGGGCCUUACUACUGGCCUUCAAAGUUCUGGAGCACAAAUAAAGAGUCCCCCAGAUAGAAUUCUGAGUUCAUGAGGUUUAUUUCUGUUGGGUGUGCUACAUGUUACAGAUACUCCCAUUAUUGGGAAGCUGGUGACCUUUUGGCUAGAGAAUGUCUUGACACUCUAGGGUACUCAUUACUGGCAGACUUGAUUUGCUCUUGAAAGAAAUCACAAAGGCAUGACACCUCUUCCCUUUCCACUUCUCCUCACCCAGACCCCAAAGAGGAACUGAAAGAGGAACACGCGCUGUUAGAGUAGAGAUGGACCAGUGAGCACGUGUGCAGGCCUCGAUACUCGCCUACAAUACCUGUAUGUACUCUACAUUCUCUAGCCUCAAACCAGUGUCCUCAAGUCAUGAUAUCUGUUCUCUGUCUUCAUUACUCAAGACCAAGCAGUUAAGGUACUUCACAAACAGGGAUACCUGCCAUUUAACUGAAUCACAACAGGAGUUGAUAUGACUGAGCUCUUCCUGUGUGCCAAACCCUAUUCAAAGUAUGCUCCAGCUGUCUCAAGAGAAGUUAAUUUGCCAACAGUGACACAGCUAAUAAGUGGUCAAGCUGUGACAUGAACACCAGCAGUAUUACUCUAGAACCCAGAUGCUUUUCAUCUUUAUGCCAUUCCUUCUGCCUUAACUUUAUCUCAAUUUCUUCUACCUUAUGUAAAAGGAUGUUGUGAGGAUUCAAAAAAUAAUAGGAGAAUACUUGAUACAGUGCCUCUCAAUGGCCUGUUAGUUGCUAUGGCUAGUUGAGAGUUUGCUCAGUCACAGGGCUAAGUGGCUGAACUAGGACCCCCACCCUAGAGCCUGUUCCCAGAGUUCCCUCUAACACCAACCCCUCCUGCUGCUCUGUGUCAGUGACAGCACAGAUAACACACCAGCACAGUUGCUGGCAAUAAUUGAGCACUUGGGAGAUGUCAAGCUUGUUCUUCUCCCACAUCUCCCUCCUUCUCCUCACUGAAAGACAGAGGCACAGAAACAUUCUUAUAUAAGGUAAUGAGCAACUUCGAAAAGAGAAGCUUGAUUCAAUUGCACUUUAUACUUCCUUUCUCACUUUUCAUGCAAGAUGGAAAGUAACGUCCAUGAAAUAGAAGACACGAUUUUUAAAAAUGUAUUCAUGUAUUUGGGCAACAGAGUGAGACUCUGUCUCAAAAUAUAUAUAUAUAUAUAUAUAUAUAUAUGUCCAUGUAUUUGACUUCUUUUUCCUCCCCCAUUAUUGACAUGCUUCAUGCUAUUGAAACUGUCAGGACAGAAUGUAUCCUUAGUCAGUCAUGACGCCUCAUGUGCCUCGUGUCAAACAUAACGCAUAGAUUACUCACACACCGACAAUGCCAUACGUUAAGCACACUGUGCGUUUAAUUGUGCAAUGGCAUUUGCUGUAAGGAUGACCAUUCAGGUUUCAGUUUUGAAGGAAGUUGGCAAUUACUUGCUAUCUCUUUAGCAAUAGAAUAGUGCACUUUUUGCUUUUUCUCCUUAAGAAAUCUUGUACUGUACAAAUUGUGGAACACAGUCAUCUGACUUUGUCCUCUGUUUUUCUCCUUGUAUGAAUGCUAUGAAGUUAUCUUUCUUUUCUUUCCUUUUUUUUUUUUUUGAGACAGGGUCUCACUCUCAUCACCCAGGCUGUAGUGCAGAGGUACAAUCAUGGCUCACUGUAGCCUCAGCUUCCCAGGCUCAGGUGAUCCUCCCGCUUCGCCUCCCACGUAGCUGGCACUACAGGUGCAUGCCAUUACACCCAGCUAAUUUUUUAUAUUUUUAGUAGAGAUGUGAUUUUGCCAUGUUUUCCAGGCUGAUCUGCAACUCCUGAUGCUUGAACUCAAGCAAUCCGCCUGCCUUGGCCUCCCAAAGUGUUGGGGUUAUAGGCAUGAGCCACUGUGCCUGGCUCCCCAGAGUUAUCUUUCAAAUUAUGAGGAGAUCACGCUUCCCCUCUUGGCUUUU
RNAcentral lists this long non-coding RNA (5357 nucleotides) under Papio anubis (olive baboon). RNAcentral's name for it is "lncRNA (ENSPANG00000041639.1)". The record is from RNAcentral. Lineage: Eukaryota; Metazoa; Chordata; Mammalia; Primates; Cercopithecidae.